RNAcentral lists this ribosomal RNA (574 nucleotides) under uncultured bacterium. RNAcentral's name for it is "bacterial SSU rRNA". It matches the Rfam family "Bacterial small subunit ribosomal RNA", at positions 338 to 915 of the family's 1533-position model. The record is from RNAcentral.
CCUACGGGAGGCAGCAGUAGGGAAUAUUGGGCAAUGGAGGCAACUCUGACCCAGCCAUGCCGCGUGCAGGAUGAAGGCGUUAUGCGUUGUAAACUGCUUUUAUAUAGGAAGAAAGAGUUCUUGCGAGAACAGUUGACGGUACUAUAUGAAUAAGCACCGGCUAACUCCGUGCCAGCAGCCGCGGUAAUACGGAGGGUGCAAGCGUUGUCCGGAUUUAUUGGGUUUAAAGGGUGCGUAGGCGGUUUAUUAAGUCAGUGGUGAAAGACGGUCGCUCAACGAUUGCAGUGCCAUUGAUACUGGUAGACUUGAGUGAGAUUGAGGUAGCUGGAAUGGAUAGUGUAGCGGUGAAAUGCAUAGAUAUUAUCCAGAACACCAAUUGCGUAGGCAAGUUACUAAGUCUCAACUGACGCUGAGGCACGAAAGUGUGGGUAUCAAACAGGAUUAGAUACCCUGGUAGUCCACACUGUAAACGAUGAUAACUAACUGUUGGCUUUCGGGUCAGUGGUACAGAGAAAUCGUUAAGUUAUCCACCUGGGGAGUACGCCGGCAACGGUGAAACUUAAAGGAAUUGAGG